Long non-coding RNA from Nannospalax galili (Upper Galilee mountains blind mole rat), 1144 nucleotides. RefSeq lists it as uncharacterized. The transcript has 5 exons. The record is from RefSeq and is a predicted model, not a curated record. Lineage: Eukaryota; Metazoa; Chordata; Mammalia; Rodentia; Spalacidae.
UUAGACCAAUCAACGUCCCCAUUAUUGGCGCACUAAUUCCCAGAUAACCAAUGGGAAGUGGACUUUGGGAGCAGCGUGAAGCUGUAAGCCUUCCAUCUUGGAACAGGGCGAAGUGACUUGAACUUUAGCAUGUUGCCACAGUACCUACGCCAGCCUGUGGGGGCGGUGGUGGUCUGAGAAUUUGGUCUCACUGCUUGGAUCCAAACAGCGCCUGAUUCCUCCUAGUCCAGUCGGCGUGGAGUCCAGGAGUUCGUCCCUAGGGUCACCGACUGGGCAAUGGAUGAAUGGGAACACGGAGUAGGAACCUUUCUGCCACUUGUGUGACACUUCGGGCAGGACAAGUUCAUGGGAAGGCUGCAUAACCAACCCACGAGGAGUCAGGACCCCAUUUGGUUGAAGCCCUAGCCCAGUGCGGGAAGACCCUUGGACGCCAGGUAAUAAAUGGAAAAGGAACUUGGAUGCAGCCCUUUGCCCUCUAAUGUCAAGCUGCCAAAUUCUGGGGUGCACACCUUGGUUUUGCAAUUCCCACUUUAUGAGCUGGGCCACCAUUACCACAUCAAGAUCUAACCAGCUGUGUGCAGGCAGCCGUGGGACCAUCUGCAGAGGUAAAGACCUAACACUCCAGCAAGAGAGGAUGACAGGGAAAGACUGGGACUGGAGCUUGUGAAGCCUGGGGUAUAUAAAUGGAGGAAGGAGAAGGUGAAGGACAUUCAAGCUGGUAAGGCUGCUCCCAGGGGUCCUCCUGGCUCUGCCCCUUACCGGUUGAGCCUCUGUUCCAAGAUGCGGAUGCGGAACAUGGCCUGAGAGCAGUAGCUCAGCCCUACAUGGGGUGAACAGGGACCAGGGAAGCUGGAGACACAGGCUCUUGCCUUUCCCCAGGGCUCUGAAAAGUCAUCGGAUACUCAGCCUUGCCUCACCAACCCCAGUCUCCUUUAGAAAUCAGCACUAGGUGAAGAGGACUUGGAAGCAAGUCUGAAAACCCAACUGAGCCUCGCCCCUUGGGAGGCCUUGGCUUGGCCACAGCCCUGGAUUGAGGACACCUGGUCUGGAUUUGGAGCGCUCUCUGGGGUGAACCAUGGAAUUGGUCAGCUCAGCCAGUGAUGGUCAGCAAGGAUGCUCACUCAGCAUCAAUGGCAUCAUCUCU